This is a non-coding RNA of Neoarius graeffei (lesser salmon catfish), 675 nucleotides long. Lineage: Eukaryota; Metazoa; Chordata; Actinopteri; Siluriformes; Ariidae. The record is from the annotation of a RefSeq genome assembly.
AUGCUCUCAUCAGUGCUGCUGCUGCUCACAGCUGCAUUCUGUGGUGUUGGUGCUGUGGAGCUCACUCAGUCAGCCUCUGUGCUCGUGAAACCUGGAGAGUCGUUCUCCAUCUCUUGUAAGACCUCAGAGUCGAGCUAUUGUAUUACCUGGAUACGACAACCUGCUGGGAAAGCUCUGGAAUGGCUCGGAUAUCUGUGUAGUGGUGGUAGCACGAAUCUCAAAGAUACAGUGAAGAGCAAGAUCAGUUUCAGCCAGGACACAUCCAGCAGAACAGUUUAUUUAAGAGGACAAAACUCUCAGACCGAGGACACGGCUGUGUAUUACUGUGCCAGAGACACACAGCACUACAGACUCCCUGCAGCCCUGUACAAAAACAUCCCUGUUCAUUUUCAUCUCCCUGCAGUCCACUUGUCCCCAGGGACGCCUGAUGUGUUCUGUGCUACUGAGCUCAUCCAGCCAGACUCAGUAGUGAUAAAGCCAGGAGAGACUUUAACCAUCACCUGUAGAGUGUCUGGAGCUUCGAUCACUGACAGCAGCAGCCACUAUGGAACAGCUUGGAUUCGACAACCUGCAGGAAAACCUUUGGAAUGGAUCAACGCCAUUUAUUAUAAUGGGAACAUUGAAAAGAAAGAUUCACUGAAAGACAAAUUUGAAUCCACAGUGCUACAGCUCUAA